CGCGGGAAUUCGAUUACUGCUCAGUAACACGUGGAUAACCUACCCUCAGAUCUGGGAUAACUCCGGGAAACUGGAGAUAAUACCGGAUAAUCCGUGAACGCUGGAAUGCCUCACGGUUGAAAGCUUUAGCGUCUGAGGAUGGGUCUGCGGCCGAUUAGGUAGUUGCUGGGGUAACGUCCCAACAAGCCGAUAAUCGGUACGGGUUGUGAGAGCAAGAGCCCGGAGAUGGAUUCUGAGACACGAAUCCAGGCCCUACGGGGCGCAGCAGGCGCGAAAACUUUACACUGCGCGAAAGCGCGAUAAGGGGACCUCGAGUGCGUGCGCAAAGCGUACGCUUUUCAGAUGCCUAAAAAGCAUGUGGAAUAAGGGCCGGGCAAGACCGGUGCCAGCCGCCGCGGUAACACCGGCGGCUCAAGUGGUGGCCGCUAUUAUUGGGCUUAAAGGGUCCGUAGCCGGACCAGUUAGUCCCUUGGGAAAUCUUACGGCUUAACCGUAAGGCUGCCAAUGGAUACUGCUGGUCUUGGGACCGGGAGAGGUAAGAGGUACUUCAGGGGUAGGAGUGAAAUCCUGUAAUCCUUGAGGGACCGCCAGUGGCGAAGGCGUCUUACUAGAACGGGUCCGACGGUGAGGGACGAAAGCUAGGGGCACGAACCGGAUUAGAUACCCGGGUAGUCCUAGCCGUAAACGAUGCGAGCUAGGUGUCACGUGGAUUGCGAAUCCAUGUGGUGCCGAAGGGAAACCGUGAAGCUCGCCGCCUGGGAAGUACGGCCGCAAGGCUGAAACUUAAAGGAAUUGG
RNAcentral lists this ribosomal RNA (796 nucleotides) under uncultured archaeon. RNAcentral's name for it is "bacterial SSU rRNA". It matches the Rfam family "Archaeal small subunit ribosomal RNA", at positions 70 to 868 of the family's 1478-position model. The record is from RNAcentral.